GUCAGCAGCAACACACUGCACUCCUGACUCCUGCUCUGAUACUUGCCUCACUGGAACCGUCAUCCCCUCUCAUGUGGCAAAUGCAGCUGGGUAUGUGGUCAGUGCAACCUGUACUUCUACAGCCACCAGCCUGCAGGCUGGACCCCAUUAGAGUGAGGAACGGAACCCCUGCUAGCCAGCCUCAGGUGACAAAACUGAGGCUCAGAGGCCAAUGGCCUUGUUCAAGGUCACACGCCCACUAAAUGAGAGACCCGGAGACCUGGCAUCACACGCUAACUAAGAAUACUGGAAGGAGAUAAGAUUGGGACUGAAAGACCUGGAUUGAAUGAUUUUUAUCAAGUCACUUCCCUUCCUUGGAUCUCCAUUUACUCAUCAAUAAACUAAGCAGAUUGGAUUAAAUGUUCUGUAAGGUGCCUUCUAGGUGAGGAAGAAGUUGGGAUAAGUCAUAAGGAAGCACCCCAAUGAACAUCUCCUGCCUCUAUGGUUUUUCUGACAUCCAUCAACAUCUGUCAGAAUUUGAAAAUGUGACUGCUUUUAGGCACUGUGCUUAGUGCUGGAGAUUCCGUGUUGAAGCUCACAGUCUGGGGCAGAGAUGGAAACAGACACAAAUAACUAUAAUACAAUGUGCUAAGGCCACAGAAGGAGCCAAAGAAGGCAAUGUUAAUGCAGAGGAAAGAAGCUGAGUUUAUUUUGCUGGAAAUGCUGGGUCCACUCAGGCAAAGCAAAGGCUCCUCAAACUGGUUCCCUGCAGGUCUCCCAUUCAAAUGGAAUGCAUUUUCAUGGCACACCCACUGUGGCACAGCACCAAGCACUGCAGUGGAUGCCACUUUAC
This 832-nucleotide long non-coding RNA is filed under the name Homo sapiens (human). RNAcentral's name for it is "HSALNT0365030". The record is from RNAcentral. Lineage: Eukaryota; Metazoa; Chordata; Mammalia; Primates; Hominidae.